UUGGUAUAAAGAUCAAAUUUAAGUAAGUAUCACCGACCGUCCCUAGAGCAAGUGACAAAACGUUUGGUGGUUGGUAUCCGAGACCCAAGUUUGAAUUCUAAUUGAUCCACAUUUUUAACUAAGUUUAUUUCUAAGUGAAAUAAACGAAGCGGGUAGCGUGCUAUCUAUUUCUCAAAAAAAAAAAAAAAAAAAAUUAUCCAGGAACAAGGGUACCAAAUUUAAUAUAAUCUAAUUGAUUACCCACAUCCUUUAACAUAACUACUUUUUUCUUUUAAGAACAAUUUGCAUAAUUAUUUAAUUAGCAACUC
RNAcentral lists this long non-coding RNA (308 nucleotides) under Ananas comosus (pineapple). Its description in RNAcentral is "long non-coding RNA (ACOM_LNC010258)". Lineage: Eukaryota; Viridiplantae; Streptophyta; Magnoliopsida; Poales; Bromeliaceae. The record is from RNAcentral.